GAUGAACGCUGGCGGCGUGCCUAAUACAUGCAAGUCGAGCGAACAGACGAGGAGCUUGCUCCCCUGACGUUAGCGGCGGACGGGUGAGUAACACGUGGAUAACCUACCUAUAAGACUGGGAUAACUUCGGGAAACCGGAGCUAAUACCGGAUAAUAUAUUGAACCGCAUGGUUCAAUAGUUAAAGACGGUUUUGCUGUCACUUAUAGAUGGAUCCGCGCCGCAUUAGCUAGUUGGUAAGGUAACGGCUUACCAAGGCAACGAUGCGUAGCCGACCUGAGAGGGUGAUCGGCCACACUGGAACUGAGACACGGUCCAGACUCCUACGGGAGGCAGCAGUAGGGAAUCUUCCGCAAUGGGCGAAAGCCUGACGGAGCAACGCCGCGUGAAUGAUGAAGGUCUUCAGAUCGUAAAACUCUGUUAUUAGGGAAGAACAAAUGUGUAAGUAACUAUGCACGUCUUGACGGUACCUAAUCAGAAAGCCACGGCUAACUACGUG
This 497-nucleotide ribosomal RNA is filed under the name uncultured bacterium. Its description in RNAcentral is "partial 16S ribosomal RNA". It matches the Rfam family "Bacterial small subunit ribosomal RNA", at positions 28 to 507 of the family's 1533-position model. The record is from RNAcentral.